UAUUUUCCUUUUUUUCCCUCUUUCUCUUUACUACGGAGGAUGCGAGCGUUAUCCGGAUUUAUUGGGUUUAAAGGGAGCGCAGACGGGAGAUUAAGUCAGUUGUGAAAGUUUGCGGCUCAACCGUAAAAUUGCAGUUGAUACUGGUUUCCUUGAGUGCAGUUGAGGCAGGCGGAAUUCGUGGUGUAGCGGUGAAAUGCUUAGAUAUCACGAAGAACCCCGAUUGCGAAGGCAGCUUGCUAAACUGUAACUGACGUUCAUGCUCGAAAGUGUGGGUAUCAAACAGG
RNAcentral lists this ribosomal RNA (284 nucleotides) under Phocaeicola coprocola DSM 17136. Its description in RNAcentral is "partial 16S ribosomal RNA". It matches the Rfam family "Bacterial small subunit ribosomal RNA", at positions 509 to 776 of the family's 1533-position model. Lineage: Bacteria; Pseudomonadati; Bacteroidota; Bacteroidia; Bacteroidales; Bacteroidaceae. The record is from RNAcentral.